CCGCGUGAGGGACGAAGGCUUUCUGAGUUGUAAACCUCUUUCGGCAGGAACGAUUGUGACGGUACCUGUAGAAGAACGCACCGGCCAACUAUGUGC
This 96-nucleotide ribosomal RNA is filed under the name uncultured bacterium. RNAcentral's name for it is "partial 16S ribosomal RNA". The record is from RNAcentral.